UUAUGGAAGUUUUCAGCUCUUAUGUCUUCAGAGAUUUAUCCUACAAUAAAAUACAGACUAUCGAAAGACGUACAUGUGAACCACUACCUUUUUUGCAGUUUAUAAAUCUUGGUUGCAAUUUACUCACAGAACUGAGCUUUGGAACAUCCAGGCCUGGCAUGGAAUGCAGUUUUUCCACAAGUAGUA
This is a non-coding RNA of Delphinapterus leucas (beluga whale), 186 nucleotides long. The record is from RefSeq and is a predicted model, not a curated record. Lineage: Eukaryota; Metazoa; Chordata; Mammalia; Artiodactyla; Monodontidae.